RNAcentral lists this ribosomal RNA (1400 nucleotides) under uncultured bacterium. RNAcentral describes it as "bacterial SSU rRNA". It matches the Rfam family "Bacterial small subunit ribosomal RNA". The record is from RNAcentral.
AGAGUUUGCUUUUGGCUCAGGAUGAACGCUAGCGGCAGGCUUAACACAUGCAAGUCGAGGGGCAUCGGGAGGGAAGCUUGCUUUCCUUGCCGGCGACCGGCGCACGGGUGAGUAACACGUAUGCAACCUGCCCUCUUCAGGGGGACAACCUUCCGAAAGGGAGGCUAAUCCCGCGUAUAUCGGUUUCGGGCAUCCGAGAUCGAGGAAAGAUUCAUCGGAAGAGGAUGGGCAUGCGGCGCAUUAGCUUGACGGCGGGGUAACGGCCCACCAUGGCGACGAUGCGUAGGGGUUCUGAGAGGAAGGUCCCCCACACUGGUACUGAGACACGGACCAGACUCCUACGGGAGGCAGCAGUGAGGAAUAUUGGUCAAUGGGAGAGAUCCUGAACCAGCCAAGCCGCGUGAGGGAAGACGGCCCUAUGGGUUGUAAACCUCUUUUGUCGGAGAACAAAACCCGGGACGUGUCCCGGACUGCGUGUAUCCGAAGAAAAAGCAUCGGCUAACUCCGUGCCAGCAGCCGCGGUAAUACGGAGGAUGCGAGCGUUAUCCGGAUUUAUUGGGUUUAAAGGGUGCGUAGGCGGUCCGUUAGGUCAGCGGUAAAAUUGCGGGGCUCAACCCCGUCGAGCCGUUGAAACUGGCAGACUUGAGUUGGCGAGAAGUACGCGGAAUGCGCGGUGUAGCGGUGAAAUGCAUAGAUAUCGCGCAGAACUCCGAUUGCGAAGGCAGCGUACCGGCGCCAGACUGACGCUGAGGCACGAAAGCGUGGGGAUCGAACAGGAUUAGAUACCCUGGUAGUCCACGCAGUAAACGAUGAAUGCUGGUUGUCCGGGUCGAAUGAGAUCUGGGCGGCGAAGCGAAAGCGAUAAGCAUUCCACCUGGGGAGUACGCCGGCAACGGUGAAACUCAAAGGAAUUGACGGGGGCCCGCACAAGCGGAGGAACAUGUGGUUUAAUUCGAUGAUACGCGAGGAACCUUACCCGGGCUCAAACGGGAGUGGAAUGGACCAGAGACGGUUCAGCCUACGGGCCGCUUCCGAGGUGCUGCAUGGUUGUCGUCAGCUCGUGCCGUGAGGUGUCGGCUUAAGUGCCAUAACGAGCGCAACCCCCGCCGGCAGUUGCUAACGGGCAAUGCCGAGGACUCUGCCGGGACUGCCGCCGCAAGGCGAGAGGAAGGCGGGGAUGACGUCAAAUCAUCAUGCCCCUUAUGGCCUGGGCUACACACGUACUACAAUGGCGGCUACAAAGAGCAGCGAGACAGGGAUGUCGAGCGAAUCUCAUAAAAGCCGUCCCAGUUCGGAUUGGAGGCUGCAACCCGCCUGCAUGAAGUCGGAAUCGCUAGUAAUCGCGGGUCAGCAUACCGCGGUGAAUACGAACCCGGGCCUUGCACACACCGCCCGUCAAG